This is a non-coding RNA of Salmo salar (Atlantic salmon), 294 nucleotides long. Lineage: Eukaryota; Metazoa; Chordata; Actinopteri; Salmoniformes; Salmonidae. The record is from RefSeq and is a predicted model, not a curated record.
GACCUCUACAAAUACUCACUCCUGCCACUUCCACUCUGCCAGAUUGUAAUCUCUGCUCAUUACCGCUCUGUCUCUGGCUCCUGUCUCCUGUUCCACAUCUCACCACCCAACUACCUUGCUCUGGAUUUUACUCGCCACCACUACCUUGGAUACCCCUCAGGACCUGUUUUCCCAGUUCUACACAGCUAACUCUAACCUCAGUCUCCACAUCUGUUUUUUCUGCAACUCAUCCGAGCUUUCCCGGAUCUGUACUCCAUAUCUCUCUGUGUAACAAUAAAUAUUUUGGUUAAUUCA